RNAcentral lists this ribosomal RNA (498 nucleotides) under Cellulosimicrobium sp. UDEA GDCON C7S5. RNAcentral's name for it is "bacterial SSU rRNA". It matches the Rfam family "Bacterial small subunit ribosomal RNA", at positions 337 to 839 of the family's 1533-position model. Lineage: Bacteria; Bacillati; Actinomycetota; Actinomycetes; Micrococcales; Promicromonosporaceae. The record is from RNAcentral.
UCCUACGGGAGGCAGCAGUGGGGAAUAUUGCACAAUGGGCGAAAGCCUGAUGCAGCGACGCCGCGUGAGGGAUGAAGGCCUUCGGGUUGUAAACCUCUUUCAGCAGGGAAGAAGCGCAAGUGACGGUACCUGCAGAAGAAGCGCCGGCUAACUACGUGCCAGCAGCCGCGGUAAUACGUAGGGCGCAAGCGUUGUCCGGAAUUAUUGGGCGUAAAGAGCUCGUAGGCGGUUUGUCGCGUCUGGUGUGAAAACUCGAGGCUCAACCUCGANNNGCUUGCAUCGGGUACGGGCAGACUAGAGUGCGNGUAGGGGAGACUGGAAUUCCUGGUGUAGCGGUGGAAUGCGCAGAUAUCAGGAGGAACACCGAUGGCGAAGGCAGGUCUCUGGGCCGCANACUGACGCUGAGGGAGCGAAAGCAUGGGGAGCGAACAGGAUUAGAUACCCUGGUAGUCCAUGCCGUAAACGUUGGGCACUAGGUGUGGGGCUCAUUCCACGAGU